Molecule: ribosomal RNA, 492 nt
Filed under: uncultured bacterium
Lineage: Bacteria
Description: partial 16S ribosomal RNA
Rfam family: Bacterial small subunit ribosomal RNA
Source: RNAcentral
AGUGAGCGCUGGCGGUAGGCCUAACACAUGCAAGUCGAACGGCAGCACAGUAAGAGCUUGCUCUUACGGGUGGCGAGUGGCGGACGGGUGAGGAAUACAUCGGAAUCUACUUUUUCGUGGGGGAUAACGUAGGGAAACUUACGCUAAUACCGCAUACGACCUACGGGUGAAAGCAGGGGAUCUUCGGACCUUGCGCGAUUGAAUGAGCCGAUGUCGGAUUAGCUAGUUGGCGGGGUAAAGGCCCACCAAGACGACGAUCCGUAGCUGGUCUGAGAGGAUGAUCAGCCACACUGGAACUGAGACACGGUCCAGACUCCUACGGGAGGCAGCAGUGGGGAAUAUUGGACAAUGGGCGCAAGCCUGAUCCAGCCAUACCGCGUGGGUGAAGAAGGCCUUCGGGUUGUAAAGCCCUUUUGUUGGGAAAGAAAAGCAGCAGGUUAAUACCCCGCUGUUCUGACGGUACCCAAAGAAUAAGCACCGGCUAACUUCGUG